Non-coding RNA from Felis catus (domestic cat), 85 nucleotides. NCBI's taxonomy places the organism in Eukaryota, Metazoa, Chordata, Mammalia, Carnivora, Felidae. The record is from Rfam.
GCCUGGAUGGCUCAGUCGGUUGAGCAUCUGACUUCAGCUCCGGUCAUGAUCUCACGAUUCGUGAGUUUGAGCCUCGCGUCGGGCU